RNAcentral lists this unclassified non-coding RNA (255 nucleotides) under Hevea brasiliensis (rubber tree). The record is from RNAcentral. Lineage: Eukaryota; Viridiplantae; Streptophyta; Magnoliopsida; Malpighiales; Euphorbiaceae.
UGAUAUUAAACCCAGUAACAUAUUGCUUGACGCAACUUUUAAUGCUAAGAUUGGUGAUUUCGGACUUGCAAGAUUGAAGACUGAGGAGAAUGUUGUGGAGAAGGAGACUUAUGUAGUUGCAGAGGAUAAUGGAUCGAUUUUGUAGGAAACGGAAAGUGUGGUGACUGGAGACGAGGAUAGUCAUACGGCUAUAGGCGUUGAUCGAUCACCGGAGAGUUUUGCUGCUAGGGGUUUAGAUUCAGAUGCUUCACCGGA